UUUUUUUUUCUAAAAAAAAUUAAGUGAUUAGGUGGCGCGGGUCCCACCUGAAGGGCCGAAUCCCCUCCUAAUGUGCCACGUCAGUAAUCCCGGCGCAAACAAACAGCUAAUCUCGGGUUAGGGGGUUAAUGGACCGGGAUUAGGAAGGUUAGAGUCCGGAAUCAUGGGAUUAGGAGGUGAGGGUUCAAUUUAGACGAUUCAUACAAGUUUACGUUUAAAAAUGGACUAUUCUCUAGCAGCUACGGAUUUAAUCCCAAUCACUUUGGCAUUUUCUUAACCAGACCUUUCUCUCUUUCUUCUUCUUUCACAAGUUGAUCCUUCCUCCUUUUUGGUAACUUAGUCUCUUUGGUUGCUCCAAUUCCGAUUUCUUCGGUUGCAGAACUUCCCCCUCCUCUGCCAAUUGGAAGAAAACGUGCCUUUUCGCGCUCACUGUAAAAGAAAUCACCGAAUUGUGUAGGUUACAUAUACUUUAUGCUCAUUUCUUCCGAUAAAAGUUUAAUAAUAUAACCGAAAUGGUCACAAAGAACAGAAUAAACGCGUGAAAAGCAGUGCAAAAAUCAUAUUGGUCAUAUACCCUUAAGUUUGCUUGUCCUAAGGAAAGAUAUUCAAAUUUCAAAAUCAGUGAACACAAUAAAGAAUCAAACUCUUACAACACUUGAUCGGCAUAUAUAAAAUAGAAAAACAUGAUGAAUAACAAUAACAUACAAUAGGAUCGAUGCAUCUUUUGUGCACUAUGAGCCUGUUUGGUUUCAGCCCUGUGCAACCUUGCCAAAAAAUUGGCACUACCAAAACAAGGGCACAUCCAAAUUUUUGGUCACAUAUAAUCAUUUGGUUUGUAGCCAUCGUGAUUACCAAAAUAUUGGCAAAAAUCGUUGGGUCUUAAUUUGGUUUGUAGCCAUGUAUCUUUGGAGACUUUCCCACUAUCCCGUGAUAGGUUUUAUCCUAAUUGCUCUGAACCCUUACCGUCACUGCUAUGUUAACCGCCGCCAUGAAAAUUAUCGACGAUGAAGCAGACCAACGUAAUUACCUUAGAUCUCCACACACUCGGAAACAAGGUGACUCAUUCGAUUUGGAGUUACGUCGAUCACAGCACUGUCACUUUCUUCUCCAACUCUGAUCAAUAUCAACUGUAUCAAUUUCUUCAUCAGCAGCAAGAAUUAGGCCAGUUCAUUAGAAUUGCACACUCAUAGGCACAUGAACUACCUUUGCCCUCAAUCAAUUUAUUGUUCAUGAACCUGUAUGGCCAUUCUCAUGUUCCUUUCCUGGCAGACACCUUCCGCCACCGCUGCUGCAGGCCGUCCGGAUGCCACCAUCGUGUUUCCGGCAACAACCACAUCAAACGCUAGCAUCCGUCAUUCUCCGGCGAUGUCUGCAGUCUUGAAGAAGAAAAGAGAGAAAUGGGAAGACAGGGGGAUUUGGCUGGCAAUACUUGGGCGGAAGUUUUCUUCGCCAUCAGGUCGCCAGUGUAUUGGCAAAAAAAGCACUGGCGUAGGUUGGCAGGGUUGGGCUGACCAAAUUCUUGGUGUUAAUCCAAACGGACGCCAAACACCGCGGGCGUACCAAAUAAUUGGCAGGGCGACCAUUGGCUUACAACCAAACAGACCCUAUAAAACACACGGAAGUAAAUAUUGGUUCACAAUUUACCAAUUUCAGUUAACUCGUUGGCUUUCCUAAUCUGCUGUAGAUUUUUUCUUGUAUAUCACACCACACGUCUGAGGUAAGACAUAUGCUUGCUUUGUCGUUUGAAUGAACACGUUUAAAUGUAUCGAACUAUUCAAAUUAUAUAUCAUUUCAGUUCAAACUUAAGUUUAUUGAUUAACAAUUGAUUUAUUAUUUUCUAUGUAAGCUAAAGUGAUUACACAUUCACUAUGGUAGUCAGUUGUGUUUUGACAGCCAUCAUAAUUAAAAAUCACAUAGAUGGUUAAUAGUCAUUUCCUUCUUUUUCAUAUGGCCGAAUUGCAUUAUCGAGAUAAAGAGACGAUAAGUUACUCCAAAUGCAUAAUACAUCUUAUUACAGUGAAAAAAAAUAUGACUUGCAACAUUAAUAUCCAAAACUGAAAAUUUGCAUUAUCAAGUACGAGAGAACUCAAACUUUAUUUACUAUCACAAUUUGAUAUAAUACUUUUUUAGUGGCUAACUUAUUACUAACCAUACAACUCAAUCAUAGUAGUUCUUUUUUUUAAUGGUGCCACUUUGUUUUUGGUGUUGCGUUACACUCAUGGGAGAGUAGAGCGCACCUAGUUAUAGGAUUACAACAUAGUUGAUUAUUACCAAAUGGUUUACAUCCAAAUCCUAUACCUAUAAAUAUCGUUACUCUAGAAUACUUUCCAUAAAUAUCUUAAUUCUAAUUUUUUUCUAGGUUACCAUGAAGAAAUUGUUCCGCGGUCUUUCACGACAAGUGUCUUCCUCUUCAAGCAUGUUCACAAGCCUUCUUAUGACAAGAUAUUUGUCAUUCUCUCUAAUCAUUGCAAAUAUCUUCCGUUGUAAUCCUCCAAAGUAUUGCAGAACAUUCUCAAGUAUGCAAUGCUAUUUUUUAACAAAAACAAAGACGGACUAAAAAGAACAUUGAAAACUCAAAAGUUACACCAAAGCACUCUCAAGCGUCAAAUCUCUAAGCCCACAAGCCAGUCAUCAAGUUCUUUCAUGCACACGGUAACGAAACUCCACAAGACAACAGCUAUAAGCUAAAGAACGUCGAAAUGUUCUGAAUAGUGGCAUGAGUCCUCAACUACAAUAUGUGAGGGUCUUAGACCAUCGAACACAUUGUGGCUGAGGAAACACCCAUCACCAAACAUGCCGUAGAACCACUGCUUCAUCAUCGGGCCGCCAAAGAAGACGACCGUGGUGACGGAAGGACGCAACGGGGGAAACGAGAACACCACUAACUCCUCAACAUCGGAUAGUAAAACUAGGCCAGGAUAGGAAUGGAACAUGGGAACUCUUUUAUCCGCCUUAAAAAAUGCUCCUGCCAAUGACACACAAAACUAUCACUAAAAGCCCUUAUCUACAUGAAAAUCAAAUCCGAACGAAUUUCCAGCUGAUGUCUAGAACAUUUCCAAAAUUCCUCCUAAAGUCUAGAACAUUUCCAAAAUUCCUUAUAUUGGGUCAUUCUACAACAAGUCGUUCGGAAGGUAACAGGAACCACUUAAUCAAAGAAUUCAAACCGAACUACUACUACAAAAUUCUUAUAACCCAUAGAGGUCUGAAAAUGGUAAUUAACAAGCAACCUCCAAGUCUUCAAGAUUAGAAGUCUUAACUCAUGGUUGACCUUUGAAACAAAAGAGAUAUUGGUGUAAUGGUGUUCCCGGCCGGGUGACACGCAUGCAGGCCGAGAGAAAGAAGAGAGAGGAGGAGAGAAGACGACGAGUGCAUGUCUGCAUGCGCACGCGGGCACACCUCCUACAAUUUAGGACGAGAGGCCAUGUCGCCUGAGCAUGCACCGCCAUUGCCGGUGCACCGCUCUCCGGGGCCUCCUCCCGCUUAAGUAACUCUCCACUCCCUCCUUUGACGCAUUCCCCCUCUUCCUCCGCUGCGCCCCCACCGACCAAUUAACCGGAGGCCGGCCGGGCGCCCGUUCCCGCUAAGCUAAGUUGCACGCGCGUACCAAAUUAGCAGCCACAUUGCCUCUGCUCCAUUAGUAAAUUUCCUCUGUUUCGCGCGCGGUGGUCUGUCUCAGUCGAUCGUCCAUCGCCGCCGUCGCCGCCGCCGGGGCAAAAGAUGGCGGGGGCCGUGAUCGUCCACCACCACGCCCGCUACAAGACUUACCCCGGCGAGGUCACCGGCUUCGUCUUCUUCGCCUGCCUCAUCGCCUCCGUCGGCGGCUGCAUCUUCGGCUACGACAUCGGCCUCACCGGUACCAAUUUACUCGAUCAUGGCUAAUCAAUGUUGCCUCUGCCUCUGAGGAUCCUUAAUCCUGACACCAUAAAUUUCUUAUUUGUUGCUGUUGUUGAAGCCGGGCUGACGUCGACGGAGUCAUUCCUGAUCCUCUUCUUCCCGGACAUCUACCGGCAGCAAAAGGAGCAGGUGAUCAAGAACCAGUACUGCAAGUUCGACAGCCAGGAACUCUCCCUCUUCGGCUCCUCCCUCUUCCUCUCCGCGGCCGCCGCCUCCCUCUUCGCGUCCCCGAUGGCGCGCUCCUUCGGCCGCAAGUGGACGCUCUUCUCCGCCGCCACCGCCUACAUCCUCGGCGCCUUCCUGGGCGGCGUCUCCACAACCUUCCCCGUCCUCCUAACGGGCCGGAUCCUCCUGGGCGUCGGCGUGGGCCUCUGCAUCCACGCCUCCCCGCUCUACAUCUCCGAGAUGGCCCCGGCCCAGCACCGCGGCAUGCUCAACAUCCUCUUCCAGUUCAUGAUCACCGUCGGCAUCCUCUCCGCCAGCCUCACCAACUACUGGACGGGGAAGUUCAUCGGCGGCUGGGGCUGGCGCGUGGGGCUCGCCUUCGCGGCCGUCCCGGGCUCCGUGAUCGCCCUCGGCUCCCUCGCCAUCCCCGACACUCCCGCAUCCCUCCUCCUCCGCGGCGAAUCCGAGGCGGCGCGGCUCACCCUGCAGCAGAUCCGGGGGAUCGGGAUCGACGAAGUGAAGCAGGAGUUCGACGACCUCGUGGCCGCCGCCGAGGAGAGCAAGGCCGUGACGAAGCCAUGGCGGGAGCUCCUGUUCGGGGGCAAGUACAAGCCGCAGCUCACCUUCGCGCUGGCGAUCCCCUUCUUCCAGCAGCUGACGGGGAUCAACGUGAUCAUGUUCUACGCGCCCGUGCUGUUCAAGACCAUGGGGUUCCGGCAGGACGCGUCCAUCGUCUCCUCCGUCAUCACGGGGCUCGUCAACGUCUUCUCCACCUUCGUGGCCACCAUGACGGCCGACAAGGUGGGCCGCAGGGCCCUGUUCCUGCAGGGCGGGACCCAGAUGAUCAUCUCCCAGAUCCUCGUGGGCACAUUCAUCGGGCUCCAGUUCGGGCUCAGCGGGACGGGGGCCAUCUCGGAGCAGUACGCCAUGUGCAUCGUGCUCUUCGUCUGCGUCUACGUCGCGGGCUUCGCCUGGUCCUGGGGGCCCAUGGGCUGGCUCAUUCCCAGCGAGGUGUACCCGCUGGCGGUCCGGUCGCAGGCCCAGAGCAUCACGGUCGCCGUCAACAUGGUCUUCACGGCAUUCAUCGGGCAGAUCUUCCUGACGCUGCUGUGCCACCUCCGGUUCGGGCUCUUCUACUUCUUUGGUGCCUGGGUGCUGCUCAUGACGCUCUUCAUCGCCGUGCUGCUGCCGGAGACCAAGUGCGUGCCGCUCGAGGAGGUGGCGCACGUCUGGAGGAAGCACUGGUUCUGGAGGGAGUUCAUGGUCGACACCAGCGCCGACGCACGCGGCGCCGAGAUGAGGAAGAGGAUAGCGCUAGAGAUGAGCUGAUCGUCGGUCCCAUCCAUACAUACAUACAUACAUACAUUGAUCCUCCCCCCAGUCAGCUGGAAGACAUAGCUAGAAUGCAGGAUUCAUUGGUGUCAUAGCAUACACGUCUUGUAAUUGUUUACCGUUUGUUUCAUGUGUCAACUUGUCAGCAAGUUCUUGUAAUUAAUUCUUGUAUUUACCGGAACAGAAAUUUUAUAAUCAGUACUGCCCCUCAGCCAUCCGUGUACAGGACUACUGGUGCCUGAAGUUGCUUUUUUUCUUUGAAGCAAUCAAUCAACGUUUUCUCUUCUUUUCCAUUCCCAAACUAAAAACAAAAUCUCCGUCACAACUCGCAAUUAACAACGAACUAGUACCAGGAAAGACAAAUAGUAGCACGCAUGUUUUGAGCAAAUCGCUGAGUAAGGAGGAGCAGUUCCGAACUGAAAUGAACACUGCCUCGAUCACACAGACGCACACAAGACGUACCGCAGGCAAAAGAGAGGCCGUUGCACAAGGAUCUGAUGCUGUAAACUUGCACACAAACACUAUACACAUACAUGAUACACACAUACAUCAGCUCACUAUUUCUAUUUACCAGUGUCCUGCACAAACUUCACCAUAACUAGGUAGCAGCAGCAGCAGUAGUAUGCACAGCAAACUGGCCAUCACAAACAAGCUAGCAGUGCCGAAGAGGAAGAAAACAGCAAACUGGAGUAGAAGCAGCAACCAAACUACUGGUGUAACAGUCCUGCCGGGCCGCCGUGCCGACGCAGAUCGGCACGCGCGGACACGAGCAGGGAAAGGGGAACGGGCCGGGGAUGGAACAAACUCGGCCGUGGUGGAUCUCAUCUCACUUGGGUCCCCAGAGCAGCAGGUGCAUCACCUUGGCCGUCUUGCCGGCGCCGUCGUCCGCGCGCCGGCCCAUCGCGCCGGCGGCACGGGGCGGCUGCUGCUGCCGCUGCUCGCCGUCCCCGCCCGCCGCCGCAGGCGCCCGGAGAGCCGGGAGCCCCCACCAGCG
This 6385-nucleotide long non-coding RNA is filed under the name Brachypodium distachyon (stiff brome). Its description in RNAcentral is "long non-coding RNA (BDIS_LNC002851)". Lineage: Eukaryota; Viridiplantae; Streptophyta; Magnoliopsida; Poales; Poaceae. The record is from RNAcentral.